This is a non-coding RNA of Pneumocystis jirovecii, 278 nucleotides long. It matches the Rfam family "Nuclear RNase P". Rfam says of the family: Ribonuclease P (RNase P) is a ubiquitous endoribonuclease, found in archaea, bacteria and eukarya as well as chloroplasts and mitochondria. Lineage: Eukaryota; Fungi; Ascomycota; Pneumocystomycetes; Pneumocystales; Pneumocystaceae. The record is from Rfam.
ACUCUUUAACGCUGCACUUCUUCGUUAACAUACGAUGUUUUAAGGAAAAACAUAUAAAAACGAAGGGUUAAGGUCGGAGAAUCAUCCUCAAUUAUUGUUCGUGAAGAACCUAGCGCUAGUAUGUGCUUGCAACUGCAUUAGAAAGAUACAGCUUGAACUUUAUAUAGUUAUAUAGCUUUGAGAGGUCAGUUGCGAGGAUUAGAUGCAAUAAUGUCUUUAAGUGCAAUGUGCAGCACUCCUACUUUGGAGAUAACUUAAUUCCGACUAGUCUUUAGAGU